AUUGAACGCUAGCGGGAUGCUUUACACAUGCAAGUCGAACGGCAGCGCGGACUUCGGUCUGGCGGCGAGUGGCGAACGGGUGAGUAAUGUAUCGGAACGUGCCCAGUAGCGGGGGAUAACUACGCGAAAGCGUAGCUAAUACCGCAUACGCCCUCCGGGGGAAAGCAGGGGAUCGUAAGACCUUGCACUAUUGGAUCGGCCGAUAUCGGAUUAGCUAGUUGGUGAGGUAACGGCUCACCAAGGCGACGAUCCGUAGCUGGUUUGAGAGGAGGACCAGCCACACUGGAACUGAGACACGGCCCAGACUCCUACGGGAGGCAGCAGUGGGGAAUUUUGGACAAUGGGGGCAACCCUGAUCCAGCCAUCCCGCGUGUGCGAUGAAGGCCUUCGGGUUGUAAAGCACUUUUGGUAGGAAAGAAACGUCGCGGGCUAAUACCCCGUGGAACUGACGGUACCUUCAGAAUAAGCACCGGCUAACUACGUG
This 484-nucleotide ribosomal RNA is filed under the name uncultured bacterium. RNAcentral's name for it is "partial 16S ribosomal RNA". It matches the Rfam family "Bacterial small subunit ribosomal RNA", at positions 30 to 507 of the family's 1533-position model. The record is from RNAcentral.